CUUUGGGGUGGAAGGGGAGCAUAGAGCUCAUAAAAUUCUCAUCUUUGUUAGGAAAAACAGGUGACGGAGUCCUUUCUUCCUUUCCCUGGCCACAUUCCACAGUUGCCUCAAAGUACAACUGUGUCAAGAAUGUACCAGACGACUGAAUGAAUGGCCAGGCUUUUCCUUUCUAAGUUGAUGAAACUGAAUUUACCAGCGAACCUCCAGGUACCGAGGACACAGAUGCAAACAUCACUGCAGAUGUGCAAUUCACAUGAUCUUUGUUGUCACCGUGUUACAGAAGGUUGUGCACUUGCAGAUCUGAAGACCUCCCGGCCCCAUCACACUCCAUUCUGGCCUCCUCCUUUUCUAUCACAAUGCACUGAAAAGACUUACGAAGUUGUGAAUGAUACACGGACAAAGAGCACUAUGAGAAUUACCUUCUUUUAUGUCGGAUUCUGUAAAAGGCACCUUCAAGGUCCAAAGAGGAAAGGUGCUAUACAUAAUACAAGUAAUCUCAUAACGAUGCAUCAUAGGAAUAUUGCAAGGAAGAACUGAACAUUAUCUGUAAAAUAUGAAACCGGAAUUCCAAGGCUUGACAUCAGAGACAGCGCUUAUCUGUUCAAAAGACAACGGAGAAGUUGAUAUCAUUAAGAGAUUCUCUUGGGAAAGCAAUAAAAACUGUCAGACUAUGUCAUAUGGACCAGCUCUGAACAGAUGCUGUGCUGAGGGAUCUGGAAAGAGCCCCACGAAUUACAUUCUAAAAUUAACUGUGUGGAAUCAUAUGUAUUUCUGGCUGUCAAA
Molecule: long non-coding RNA, 783 nt
Organism: Talpa occidentalis (Iberian mole)
Lineage: Eukaryota; Metazoa; Chordata; Mammalia; Eulipotyphla; Talpidae
Exons: 5
Source: RefSeq, a predicted model, not a curated record